Non-coding RNA from Leptonychotes weddellii (Weddell seal), 642 nucleotides. NCBI's taxonomy places the organism in Eukaryota, Metazoa, Chordata, Mammalia, Carnivora, Phocidae. The record is from RefSeq and is a predicted model, not a curated record.
UGGGAUUCAGGGGUGGGGAAGCCAGCCCUCCAGCUGCCUGCCCCACACCUCUUAGCCCCUCAAAGCCCCACUUUGUCCUCAGGAUAAGGUGAACUUCGCGUUGUGCUCGGGCCCCCGGCUUGAAGCCGCGCUGGCCUCCAAGGAUCGGGAGAUCCUGCGGCUGCUGAAGGAUGUGCAGCACCUCCAGAACUCUCUGCAGGAGCUGGAGGAGACCUCGGCCAACCAGAUCGCGGACCUGGAGCGGCAGCUCACGGCUAAGUCCGAGGCCAUAGAAAAGCUGGAAGAGAAGCUCCAGGCGCAGUCUGACUAUGAAGAAAUUAAAACAGAGCUGAGCAUCCUGAAAGCCAUGAAGCUGGCCUCCAGCACCUGCAGCCUCCCCCAGCCUGGCUUCUUGUCUCCCCAGGGCAUGGCCAAGCCCGAAGACUCAUUGCUCAUGGCAAAGGAGGCCUUCUUCCCCACGCAGAAAUUCCUUCUGGAAAAGCCCGGUCUUCUGGCCAGCCCUGGUAGGGGAGACGGAAUGCUCUUGGGGCCAAGGGGCUGUGAUAGGGGCUGCCCAUGGGCCUCUGGCCUUCUCCGCGCCCCCACGCGACCGCCUCCCAUGCGGGCAGGAGACAGAUGGAGAAAAGGGUCCACACUGAAUGA